CAGGUACUCACUGAGCGAAGGACCCAUGUUGAGCCGGCUGUGCGGACCCCGAGCGGCAGUUGGAUGCAGGCCGGUGGGCGCAGCAGGUGGCCCAGUCUGUGCCAGGCCGAAGGUGUCCCAGGCUUUGGGGGCGCUCCCACACCAAAUCUGAUGUUCUGUUCACGCGUCAUCUCUUAAACAUGCAGAGUCAAACUAAGAUGGCUAUACAUCCAUAGCUGUCAUUGAAUUUGAGCAUAUGAGCAGGUGCCUGCAUAACGUCAGACAAUUGGAGAGCCAGCACAGCUCCAGACCUAAAAAUUGGGCUAUCAGAAGUAACAAGAGGAACUUUAUAUUCCUUGUUACAUACUGAGCCCCAGUAUGACAUACUGAGAACCUGGUUCUAUGGAGCUCUUUCAUCUUUGGUGAAGAAUUGCCUCAAAGAAGGAGGAAAAUAGUGAGUGAAUUGAGCCAGAAAAAGCUACAAAACUGAAGGAACUUUGAACCUAUGACCAAAAGACCUAAGUUGUAGCCCAUUUCUGCUACUUGAUAGUUGUAUGGGCCUGAACAAGGCACUUGUUUUCCUAAUUUUAUGAUGUAUUUGCAAAUUGGAGGUACUAAUCUUUGGUUGUUCUAGUUUUGUUAUGUAGAUCAGAUUAUAUAAUGAACAGGUAAUAUUUUUGUAAGUAGUAGAGGGUCAUCAAUAUUGAACUAUCCCUCUACAGUGUGAAGUAUAGUUACUAUUUGUGGAUUAAGGCACACAUAUCAGUUUCUUCCAUAACUGCCCUUUGGACUAUGAUAUUUUAAGUGAUGAUUUCCAAAUGGGAGGAGGAGGAGUUAGAAUCCUAAGUGACUCAUAAAAGCUACAAGCAAAUUCACAAGUCCCUUGUUUCCGCUCACCAAUCCCGUACAACAAAAAGCACACCAAAGCCCUCUUCUUAUCAGACAGUAUCAAGAGAGCAGGAUGAUUUCAGCCAAAAUCAAGCCCACCGACCCACCACAAACAUCACAGAUGUGCAUAGUGAGUCCUAUCUCUCUCACCACCUGCCAGUUAGAGUCAUUGGGUUGCCCUUCUCUAAUCCCAGGAAAUGGUAAAUAAGAAAACUAGGAAAACCUGUUUUUCUCCCGUGAGACUUUUACAACGUCUCUUAAAGUUUUCUGGCAUUCUUUUAACAAACAGACU
Heterocephalus glaber (naked mole-rat) is the source of this 1159-nucleotide non-coding RNA. Lineage: Eukaryota; Metazoa; Chordata; Mammalia; Rodentia; Bathyergidae. The record is from RefSeq and is a predicted model, not a curated record.